RNAcentral lists this long non-coding RNA (1160 nucleotides) under Oncorhynchus kisutch (coho salmon). RNAcentral's name for it is "lncRNA (ENSOKIG00005037582.1)". Lineage: Eukaryota; Metazoa; Chordata; Actinopteri; Salmoniformes; Salmonidae. The record is from RNAcentral.
AGUCAUUCUCUACCAUGUCUGAGCUUGACUUCCUGAGUUACGGUGACAUUGGUCUACAGGUGAUGACUAGUGGAAAGAGGGACAACAAUAUCUCUCUGGAAUUCUCUCUCCUUUUCAUCGCUCUCUCCCCCUUUCUCUCUCCUUCCUUUCCCCCUUUCUCUCUCCCUCUCUCUCCCCCCUUUCUCUCUCCCUCCUCUCCCCCUUUCUCUCUCCCUCCUCUCCCCCUUUCUCUCUCCCUCUCUCUCCCCCCUUUCUCUCUCCCUCCUCUCCCCCUUUCUCUCUCCCUCCUCUCCCCCUUUCUCUCUCCCUCCUCUCCCCCCUUUCUCUCUCCCUCUCUCCCCCCUUUCUCUCUCCCUCCUCUCCCUCCUCUCUCUCUCCCUCUCUCCCCCUUUCUCUCUCCCUCCUCUCCCCCUUUCUCUCUCCCUCCUCUCCCCCUUCUCUCUCCCUCUCUCUCCCCCCUUUCCCUCUCCCUCCUCUCCCCCCUUUCUCUCUCCCUCCUCUCCCCCCUUUCUCUCUCCCUCUCUCUCCCCCCUUUCUCUCUCCCUCCUCUCCCUCCUCUCUCUCUCCCUCCUCUCCCCCUUUCUCUCUCCCUCCUCUCCCCCCUUUCUCUCUCCCUCUCUCUCCCCCCUUUCUCUCUCCCUCCUCUCCCCCUUCUCUCUCCCUCUCUCUCCCCCCUUUCCCUCCUCUCCCCCCUUUCUCUCUCCCUCCUUUCUCUCUCCUUCAUCUCCCCCUUUCUCUCUCCCUCCUCUCCCCCUUCUCUCUCCCUCUCUCUCCCCCCAUUCCCUCCUCUCCCCCCUUUCUCUCUCCCCCCUUUCUCUCUCCCUCCUCUCCCCCUUCUCUCUCCCUCUCUCUCCCUCCUUUCCCUCCUCUCCCCCCUUUCUCUCUCCCUCCUUUCUCUCUCCUUCAUCUCUCCCCUUUCUAUCCCCCUCCUCUCCCCCUUCUCUCUCCCUCUCUCUCCCCCCUUUCCCUCCUCUCCCCCCUUUCUCUUUCUCUCUCCCUCCUUUCUCUCUCCCUCCUCUCCCCCUUUCUCUCUCCCUCCUUUCUCUCUCUCUCCUCUCCCCCCUUUCUUUCUCCCCCCUUUCUCUUUCCCUCCUCUCCCCCCUUUCUCUCUGCCCCCUUUCUCUCUCCCUCAUCUCCCCCUUCCUCUCUCCCUCCUCUCU